AAAGAAUCUGGAGACAGGUGCUGCAUGGCUGUCGUCAGCUCGUGUCGUGAGAUGGUUGGGUUAAGUCCCGCAACGAGCGCCAACCCUUGUCCUUUUAGUUGCCAGCAGGUUCGGCGUGGGCACUACGUAAAGGGACUGCCGGUAGUUAAACCGGAGGAAGGUGGGGAUGACGUCAAGUCCUCAUGGCCUUUAUGACCAGGGCUACACACGUACUACAAUGGCCGAUACAAAGGGCAGCGACACUGCGAGGUGAAGCCAAUCCCGUAAAAUCGGUCUCAGUCCGGAUUGGAGUCUGCAACUCGACUCCAUGAAGUUGGAAUCGCUAGUAAUCGUGGAUCAGCAUGCCACGGUGAAUACGUUCCCGGGCCUU
Molecule: ribosomal RNA, 370 nt
Filed under: uncultured Desulfobulbus sp.
Lineage: Bacteria; Pseudomonadati; Thermodesulfobacteriota; Desulfobulbia; Desulfobulbales; Desulfobulbaceae
Description: bacterial SSU rRNA
Rfam family: Bacterial small subunit ribosomal RNA
Source: RNAcentral